UACGAAGGGGGCUAGCGUUGUUCGGAAUUACUGGGCGUAAAGCGCACGUAGGCGGAUUUGUAAGUUAGGGGUGAAAUCCCGGGGCUCAACCUCGGAACUGCCUUUGAUACUGCAAGUCUCGAGUCCGGAAGAGGUGAGUGGAAUUCCUAGUGUAGAGGUGAAAUUCGUAGAUAUUAGGAAGAACACCAGUGGCGAAGGCGGCUCACUGGUCCGGUACUGACGCUGAGGUGCGAAAGCGUGGGGAGCAAC
RNAcentral lists this ribosomal RNA (249 nucleotides) under uncultured Hyphomicrobium sp. RNAcentral's name for it is "partial 16S ribosomal RNA". It matches the Rfam family "Bacterial small subunit ribosomal RNA", at positions 524 to 772 of the family's 1533-position model. The record is from RNAcentral. Lineage: Bacteria; Pseudomonadati; Pseudomonadota; Alphaproteobacteria; Hyphomicrobiales; Hyphomicrobiaceae.